Molecule: ribosomal RNA, 107 nt
Filed under: Bacillota bacterium
Lineage: Bacteria; Bacillati; Bacillota
Also listed under: 2 other names
Source: RNAcentral
CCUGGUGACGAUAGCGCAGUGGACACACCUGUUCCCAUCUCGAACACAGAAGUUAAGCACUGCAUCGGCGAUGGUACCCGUAUGGGGAGAGUAGCAAGUUGCCAGGU